Molecule: ribosomal RNA, 753 nt
Filed under: Scepticus griseus
Lineage: Eukaryota; Metazoa; Arthropoda; Insecta; Coleoptera; Curculionidae
Description: eukaryotic LSU rRNA
Rfam family: Eukaryotic large subunit ribosomal RNA
Source: RNAcentral
GCUGCGAGCGAACAGGGAAGAGCCCAGCACCGAAUCCCGCGGCCGAUACCGGACGCCGGGAAAUGUGGUGUUAGGGAGGGUCCAUUAUCCCGAGGUUAUGCGGUGCGUCCAAGUCCUUCUUGAACGGGGCCACAGCCCAUAGAGGGUGCUAGGCCCGUAGUGACCGCUGCUAAUCGCGGGAGGAUCUCUCCUCAGAGUCGGGUUGCUUGAGAGUGCAGCCCUAAGUGGGUGGUAAACUCCAUCUAAGGCUAAAUAUGACCACGAGACCGAUAGCGAACAAGUACCGUGAGGGAAAGUUGAAAAGCACUUUGAAGAGAGAGUUAAAGAGUACGUGAAACCGUUUAGGGGUAAACCUGAGAAAUCCGAAAGGUCGAAGGGAGAAAUUCAUUCGCGUCUCGCUAUUAGCGUUAAGCGGUCGUGUGACGGAGAACGUUCGCGCGUUCACCGCGCCUUCCGUUUUUCGAUCCGAUGGCGAACGCGUGCACUUUUCUCCUGGUAGGACGUCGCGAUCCGUUGGGUGUCGGUCUACGGCUCUCGGUGGAGCCCGUGCGUACGGCUUGCCGUCACGCGCGGACCCGAGUGUCCCGGCUGACUCGCUCGACGGUAUACGAAAGGUUUAAGGCCGCUCUUUUUUGAGCGUUCGGCUCGUUGCAAGCGCGCCGGAUGUGUUGGCGAUCGGACCUAGCGCCGAUUCUGACCUCCGGUGACUGUUGGCGACGAAGUUCUCGAACAGACCUCUAACCGAUCUGCGAC